CAAAAGCGUAUAUUUAAGUUGCUGCAGUUAAAAAGCUCGUAGUUGGAUUUCGGGUGGGAAUGGCCGGUCCGCCGUUUCGGUGUGCACUUGCUACGCCCACCUUGCUGCCGGGGACGUGCUCUUGAGUUCACGCUCGGGACACGGAGUCGGCGAGGUUACUUUGAGUAAAUUAGAGUGUUCAAAGCAGGCCUACGCUCUGAAUACAUUAGCAUGGAAUAACACGAUAGGACUCUGGCCUAUCUUGUUGGUCUGUAGGACCGGAGUAAUGAUUAAGAGGGACAGUCGGGGGCAUUCGUAUUUCAUUGUCAGAGGUGAAAUUCUUGGAUUUAUGAAAGACGAACUACUGCGAAAGCAUUUGCCAAGGAUGUUUUCAUUAA
This 377-nucleotide ribosomal RNA is filed under the name uncultured eukaryote. RNAcentral's name for it is "partial 18S ribosomal RNA". It matches the Rfam family "Eukaryotic small subunit ribosomal RNA", at positions 592 to 976 of the family's 1831-position model. The record is from RNAcentral.